GCCUGGGAGAUGACUCAGUAAAACGCUCGCUGUGGAAGCAUAAGGACCUGCCUUUCGAUCACUGCCACCAGUGCUAACAAAGCCAAGUAUGCCAGAAUAGAAGCUGCAAAUGCAACAUGGAGGAGCUGCCAUUUUCUGUCAGUCAUACCGUUGUGCCACACACAGGCGAUAGAAACUAUACCUCUGCACCGUGGAUCAUCUAGUUCAUCUCUUUUUUCAUACAUGUAUCUGGGAACAAAUGAAAGCCACAGAAGUUAUUCUUUAAAUUUCCAAA
Mastomys coucha (southern multimammate mouse) is the source of this 274-nucleotide long non-coding RNA. RefSeq lists it as uncharacterized. Lineage: Eukaryota; Metazoa; Chordata; Mammalia; Rodentia; Muridae. The record is from RefSeq and is a predicted model, not a curated record. The transcript has 2 exons.